RNAcentral lists this ribosomal RNA (484 nucleotides) under uncultured bacterium. RNAcentral describes it as "partial 16S ribosomal RNA". It matches the Rfam family "Bacterial small subunit ribosomal RNA", at positions 28 to 523 of the family's 1533-position model. The record is from RNAcentral.
GACGAACGCUGGCGGCGUGCUUAACACAUGCAAGUCGAACGAUGAUGCUGGAGCUUGCUCCAGUUGAUUAGUGGCGAACGGGUGAGUAACACGUGAGCAAUCUGCCCUUGACUCUGGGAUAACUGCGGGAAACUGUAGCUAAUACCGGAUACUUUCACCGGAAGGCAUCUUCUGGUGAUGAAAGAAUUUCGGUCAGGGAUGAGCUCGCGGCCUAUCAGCUUGUUGGUGAGGUAACGGCUCACCAAGGCGACGAAGGGGAACCGGCCUGAGAGGGUGACCGGUCACACUGGGACUGAGACACGGCCCAGACUCCUACGGGAGGCAGCAGUGGGGAAUAUUGCACAAUGGGCGCAAGCCUGAUGCAGCAACGCCGCGUGAGGGAUGAAGGCCUUCGGGUUGUAAACCUCUUUUAGCAGGGAAGAAGCGAAAGUGACGGUACCUGCAGAAAAAGCACCGGCUAACUACGUGCCAGCAGCCGCAGUAA